UACGGAGGGUGCAAGCGUUGCUCGGAAUUACUGGGCGUAAAGCGUACGCAGGCGGUCUGAUAAGUCGGGUGUGAAAGCCCCGGGCUCAACCCGGGAACGGCAUCCGAAACUGCCAGACUAGAGUUCGGGAGAGGGAAGUGGAAUUCCUGGUGUAGAGGUGAAAUUCGUUGAUAUCAGGAGGAACACCGGCGGCGAAAGCGGCUUCCUGGCCCGAUACUGACGCUCAUGUACGAAAGCGUGGGGAGCAAACAGG
Molecule: ribosomal RNA, 253 nt
Filed under: uncultured bacterium
Lineage: Bacteria
Description: partial 16S ribosomal RNA
Rfam family: Bacterial small subunit ribosomal RNA
Source: RNAcentral